GCGAGCGUUAAUCGGAAUUACUGGGCGUAAAGCGCAUGCAGGCGGCCUGUUAAGUCAGAUGUGAAAGACCCGGGGCGUUAACCUCGGAAAUUGCAUUUGAAACUAGGCAGGCUAGAGUCUUGUAGAGGGGGGUAGGAAGUUUCAGGUGUAGCGGUGAAAUAGCGUGGAGAUCUGAAGGAAUACCAGUGGCGAAGGCGGCCCCCUCGGACAAAGACUGACGCUCAGAUGCGAAAGCGUGGGGAGCAAACAGGAUUAGAUACCCUGGUAG
RNAcentral lists this ribosomal RNA (268 nucleotides) under uncultured bacterium. RNAcentral's name for it is "partial 16S ribosomal RNA". It matches the Rfam family "Bacterial small subunit ribosomal RNA", at positions 534 to 793 of the family's 1533-position model. The record is from RNAcentral.